AUUGACCUCGGAUCAGGUAGGGAUACCCGCUGAACUUAAGCAUAUCAAUAAGCGGAGGAAAAGAAACCAACAGGGAUUGCCUCAGUAACGGCGAGUGAAGCGGCAACAGCUCAAAUUUGAAAUCUGGCCCUCCCGGGGCCCGAGUUGUAAUUUGUAGAGAGUGUUUCGGGUGAGGCCGCGGUCUAAGUCCAUUGGAACAUGGUGUCAGAGAGGGUGAGAAUCCCGUACGUGACCGUGGUCCGAGCCCAUGUGAAGCCUCUUCGACGAGUCGAGUUGUUUGGGAAUGCAGCUCAAAAUGGGUGGUAAAUUUCAUCUAAAGCUAAAUACUGGCUGGAGACCGAUAGCGCACAAGUAGAGUGAUCGAAAGAUGAAAAGCACUUUGGAAAGAGAGUCAAACAGUACGUGAAAUUGUUGAAAGGGAAGCGCUGGCAACCAGACCUGCCCGUGGGCGAUCAGCCGCUGUUCUCAGCGGUGCACUCGCUCCGCGAUCAGGCCAGCAUCGGUUUCGGCGGUCGGAUAAAGGCCUUGGGAAUGUAGCUCCCCUCGGGGAGUCUUAUAGCCCUCGGUGCAAUGCGGCCAGCCGGGACCGAGGACCGCGCUUCGGCUAGGAUGCUGGCGUAAUGGUUGUCAGCGACCCGUCUUGAAACACGGACCAAGGAGUCUAACAUCUAUGCAAGUGUUUGGGUGUCAAACCCAUGCGCGGAAUGAAAGUGAACGGAGGUGAGAACCCUGAAGGGCGCAUCAUCGACCGAUCCAGAUGUCUUCGGAUGGAUUUGAGUAUGAGCAUAGCUGUUGGGACCCGAAAGAUGGUGAACUAUGCCUGAAUAGGGUGAAGCCAGAGGAAACUCUGGUGGAGGCUCGCAGCGGUUCUGACGUGCAAAUCGAUCGUCAAAUUUGGGUAUAGG
This 905-nucleotide ribosomal RNA is filed under the name Platismatia glauca. Its description in RNAcentral is "eukaryotic LSU rRNA". It matches the Rfam family "Eukaryotic large subunit ribosomal RNA", at positions 1 to 921 of the family's 3401-position model. Lineage: Eukaryota; Fungi; Ascomycota; Lecanoromycetes; Lecanorales; Parmeliaceae. The record is from RNAcentral.